UUCCCUGGCAGUCCAGUGGUUAAGAUUCUGCACUUCCAAUGCAGGGGGCCUGGGUUCAAUCCCUGGCUGGGAAC
This is a non-coding RNA of Bos taurus (domestic cattle), 74 nucleotides long. The record is from Rfam. Lineage: Eukaryota; Metazoa; Chordata; Mammalia; Artiodactyla; Bovidae.